UGGGCUGAAGCUUCAUAAUGAUCUGACACACUUGUGAGUGGAAAUGCAUCAAAGAGGAUCAAAAGGUGCGAGGGUAACCAGGAAUGCCGGGACUAAAGCGCCAUAUGGUUUCCAGAACAGACACUCAGUGAAGCUUCUGCCACUUACUUUGACCAGGUGAGGCCGAACACAAG
This is a non-coding RNA of Labrus bergylta (ballan wrasse), 173 nucleotides long. Lineage: Eukaryota; Metazoa; Chordata; Actinopteri; Labriformes; Labridae. The record is from RefSeq and is a predicted model, not a curated record.